Molecule: transfer RNA, 64 nt
Filed under: Macrotermes barneyi
Lineage: Eukaryota; Metazoa; Arthropoda; Insecta; Blattodea; Termitidae
Also listed under: 2 other names
Description: tRNA-Ala
Source: RNAcentral
GGGACUAUAGUUAAUAAUAACAUUUGAGUUGCAUUCAGAAAGUACUACAAGAUAGUUAGCCUCA